AUUGAACGCUGGCGGCAGGCCUAACACAUGCAAGUCGAGCGGAUGAAGGGAGCUUGCUCCUGGAUUCAGCGGCGGACGGGUGAGUAAUGCCUAGGAAUCUGCCUGGUAGUGGGGGAUAACGUCCGGAAACGGGCGCUAAUACCGCAUACGUCCUGAGGGAGAAAGUGGGGGAUCUUCGGACCUCACGCUAUCAGAUGAGCCUAGGUCGGAUUAGCUAGUUGGUGGGGUAAAGGCCUACCAAGGCGACGAUCCGUAACUGGUCUGAGAGGAUGAUCAGUCACACUGGAACUGAGACACGGUCCAGACUCCUACGGGAGGCAGCAGUGGGGAAUAAUGGACAAUGGGCGAAAGCCUGGUCCAGCCAUGCCGCGUGUGUGAAGAAGGUCUUCGGAUUGUAAAGCACUUUAAGUUGGGAGGAAGGGCAGUAAGUUAAUACCUUGCUGUUUUGACGUUACCAACAGAAUAAGCACCGGCUAACUUCGUG
This 484-nucleotide ribosomal RNA is filed under the name uncultured bacterium. RNAcentral describes it as "partial 16S ribosomal RNA". It matches the Rfam family "Bacterial small subunit ribosomal RNA", at positions 30 to 507 of the family's 1533-position model. The record is from RNAcentral.